UCUGUACCAUCUGUUUGUCUUUCCCAG
This 27-nucleotide non-coding RNA is filed under the name Cricetulus griseus (Chinese hamster). Lineage: Eukaryota; Metazoa; Chordata; Mammalia; Rodentia; Cricetidae. The record is from RNAcentral.